RNAcentral lists this ribosomal RNA (936 nucleotides) under Hyphodontia mollis. RNAcentral describes it as "eukaryotic LSU rRNA". It matches the Rfam family "Eukaryotic large subunit ribosomal RNA", at positions 38 to 964 of the family's 3401-position model. Lineage: Eukaryota; Fungi; Basidiomycota; Agaricomycetes; Hymenochaetales; Schizoporaceae. The record is from RNAcentral.
CUACAACAAUAAGCGGAGGAAAAGAAACUAACAAGGAUUCCCCUAGUAACUGCGAGUGAAGCGGGAAAAGCUCAAAUUUAAAAUCUGGCGGUUUCACCGUCCGAGUUGUAAUCUGGAGAAGCAUUUUCUGUGUCGGACCGUGUACAAGUCUCUUGGAAUAGAGCGUCAUAGAGGGUGAGAAUCCCGUCCAUGACACGGACUACCGAUGCUUUGUGUUAUGCUCUCGAAGAGUCGAGUUGUUUGGGAAUGCAGCUCAAAAUGGGUGGUAAAUUCCAUCUAAAGCUAAAUAUUGGCGAGAGACCGAUAGCGAACAAGUACCGUGAGGGAAAGAUGAAAAGCACUUUGAAAAGAGAGUUAAACAGUACGUGAAAUUGUUGAAAGGGAAACGCUUGAAGUCAGUCGCGUCGUCUGAGACUCAGCCUUGCUUGCUUGGUGUAMUUCUCAGUUGACGGGUCAACAUCAAUUUUGGUUGGUGGAUAAAGGCAUUGGGAAUGUGGCACCCUCGGGUGUGUUAUAGCCCUUUGUUGCAUACACUGACUGGGAUUGAGGAACGCAGCACGCCUUUUUGGCCGGGGGUUCGCCCCACGUAACGUGCUUAGGAUGUUGGCAUAAUGGCUUUAAGCGACCCGUCUUGAAACACGGACCAAGGAGUCUAACAUGCUCGCGAGUGUUAGGGUGGAAAACCCUUGCGCGUAAUGAAAGUGAAAGUUGGGACCCUUUGCGGGGGCACCGACGCCCGGCCCUGAAGUACUCUGACGGUGCUGCGGUAGAGCGCGUAUGUUGGGACCCGAAAGAUGGUGAACUAUGCCUGAAUAGGGUGAAGCCAGGGGAAACUCUGGUGGAGGCUCGUAGCGAUUCUGACGUGCAAAUCGAUCGUCAAAUUUGGGUAUAGGGGCGAAAGACUAAUCGAACCAUCUAGUAGCUGGUUCCUGCGGU